RNAcentral lists this ribosomal RNA (294 nucleotides) under uncultured bacterium. RNAcentral's name for it is "partial 16S ribosomal RNA". It matches the Rfam family "Bacterial small subunit ribosomal RNA", at positions 773 to 1067 of the family's 1533-position model. The record is from RNAcentral.
GAGGAUUAUACCCUGUAGUCCACGCCGUAAACGAUGAUAACUAGCUGCUUGGGCUCAUGGAGCUUGGGUGGCGCAGCUAACGCAUUAAGUUAUCCGCCUGGGGAGUACGGUCGCAAGAUUAAAACUCAAAGGAAUUGACGGGGGCCUGCACAAGCGGUGGAGCAUGUGGUUUAAUUCGAAGCAACGCGCAGAACCUUACCAGCCUUUGACAUCCUAGGACGAUUUCUGGAGACAGAUCUCUUCCCUUCGGGGACCUAGUGACAGGUGCUGCAUGGCUGUCGUCAGCUCGUGCCG